UGUAGCGUAAUCAAUAGCCAAUUAAUUGUUGGCCGGUAUGAAUGGCAUCACGAAGGCCCCACUGUCUUAAGAGGACUCUCCAUGAAAUUGAAAUCGUAGUGAAGAUGCUACGUCCAUAUUGUAAGACGAAAAGACCCCAUUGAGCUUUACUAAAGACUUGUAUGGCUCGAAAUAACUUAAAUAAAAAGUUUAGAUAAUGUGGGAUCCGUUUUGGUUAAUGAAACACCACUCUUUUAUUUUAAGAGAGCUAACCUUGUAGGGAGAAUGCAAGUUGGAUAGUUUGGUUGGGGCGACCACCUUUUAAAAGGUAACGAAGGUGAGCUUAAGGUCCGUAGUUAAUAGCUAGUGGCCUGACUGCAAGGGGGACAUCCCGAGCAGACACUGGUAAUCUCUCAGUGGGUUAUAGUGACCCGUCAUCUUAGAGUGGAAUAGUUGACGAUC
RNAcentral lists this ribosomal RNA (441 nucleotides) under Metridium senile (brown sea anemone). RNAcentral's name for it is "partial large subunit ribosomal RNA". It matches the Rfam family "Bacterial large subunit ribosomal RNA", at positions 1955 to 2450 of the family's 2925-position model. Lineage: Eukaryota; Metazoa; Cnidaria; Anthozoa; Actiniaria; Metridiidae. RNAcentral also lists the same sequence under 1 other name. The record is from RNAcentral.